This 251-nucleotide unclassified non-coding RNA is filed under the name Hevea brasiliensis (rubber tree). Lineage: Eukaryota; Viridiplantae; Streptophyta; Magnoliopsida; Malpighiales; Euphorbiaceae. The record is from RNAcentral.
ACGGGUCUUGAGAUCCUCCAUGGCGUUGGUUGUGGUUAACUUAGGAGCAGAGGAGGAGGAGGCAGUAGACAGAGAAGAGGCAGCGACAGAAGUGGUGGCGAGUCCAAUAAAGCUGCGCGCUCUUUUGAGAAUACUUCUAAGCCUGCUAGGGGUUCGAUUCAUAUUUCCCCCCGCUUCACGUUCUCUUUAUCCUCAGCCUCUUUUUCCUUUUCUACUCACACGCGCUCUGGCGCCAAAACGUGUUUGGUUCC